GACGAACGCUGGCGGCGUGCCUAAUACAUGCAAGUAGAACGCACAGUUUAUACCGUAGCCUGCUACACCAUAGACUGUGAGUUGCGAACGGGUGAGUAACGCGUAGGUAACCUGCCUGGUAGCGGGGGAUAACUAUUGGAAACGAUAGCUAAUACCGCAUAAUAUUAAUUAUUGCAUGAUAAUUAAUUGAAAGGUGCAAUUGCACCACUACCAGAUGGACCUGCGUUGUAUUAGCUAGUAGGUGAGGUAACGGCUCACCUAGGCGACGAUACAUAGCCGACCUGAGAGGGUGAUCGGCCACACUGGGACUGAGACACGGCCCAGACUCCUACGGGAGGCAGCAGUAGGGAAUCUUCGGCAAUGGACGAAAGUCUGACCGAGCAACGCCGCGUGAGUGAAGAAGGUUUUCGGAUCGUAAAGCUCUGUUGUAAGAGAAGAACGGGUGUGAGAGUGGAAAGUUCACGCUGUGACGGUAUCUUACCAGAAAGGGACGGCUAACUACGUG
Molecule: ribosomal RNA, 505 nt
Filed under: uncultured bacterium
Lineage: Bacteria
Description: partial 16S ribosomal RNA
Rfam family: Bacterial small subunit ribosomal RNA
Source: RNAcentral